Molecule: long non-coding RNA, 300 nt
Filed under: Physcomitrium patens
Lineage: Eukaryota; Viridiplantae; Streptophyta; Bryopsida; Funariales; Funariaceae
Description: long non-coding RNA (PPAT_LNC008424)
Source: RNAcentral
CUUUUUAUGCAAUUUUAUCAUGAAUAAUUAAUAUUUUCAUAAUUUUUAUAUUAUCUAAAUUGUAUCUUAAUCUUAUAUAGUUUAAAAGUUUUAGGUUUCUAAAAUUUCAAUUGUUAACAUGUUAAUCUUUUAUUUUUUUCUUAAAUGUACAACCUUUCCUAGAACCUAUCUGGCAUGUCAAUAAAUUUUAUUUCUUUAUAAUCCAAAACCUUCUUAGGCAUCAAAAAUAUUUGAUUGAAUAGCAACCAAUAGAAUAGAAGAUGAUAUAAGAUUUGGCUAAUAAUAAUCUAUUGAAGUUAA